UGCAAGUCGAACGAAGUGCCUUCGGGUGCUUAGUGGCGCACGGGUGCGUAACGCGUGGGAAUCUGCCCCUUGGUUCGGAAUAACAGUUGGAAACGACUGCUAAUACCGGAUGACGACGUAAGUCCAAAGAUUUAUCGCCGAGGGAUGAGCCCGCGUAGGAUUAGGUAGUUGGUGUGGUAAAGGCGCACCAAGCCGACGAUCCUUAGCUGGUCUGAGAGGAUGAUCAGCCACACUGGGACUGAGACACGGCCCAGACUCCUACGGGAGGCAGCAGUGGGGAAUAUUGGACAAUGGGCGAAAGCCUGAUCCAGCAAUGCCGCGUGAGUGAUGAAGGCCUUAGGGUUGUAAAGCUCUUUUACCCGGGAUGAUAAUGACAGUACCGGGAGAAUAAGCUCCGGCUAACUCCGUGCCAGCAGCCGCGGUAAUACGGAGGGAGCUAGCGUUAUUCGGAAUUACUGGGCGUAAAG
RNAcentral lists this ribosomal RNA (467 nucleotides) under Sphingomonas sp. UA-G019. RNAcentral describes it as "bacterial SSU rRNA". It matches the Rfam family "Bacterial small subunit ribosomal RNA", at positions 56 to 565 of the family's 1533-position model. Lineage: Bacteria; Pseudomonadati; Pseudomonadota; Alphaproteobacteria; Sphingomonadales; Sphingomonadaceae. The record is from RNAcentral.